Molecule: long non-coding RNA, 1872 nt
Organism: Magnolia sinica
Lineage: Eukaryota; Viridiplantae; Streptophyta; Magnoliopsida; Magnoliales; Magnoliaceae
Exons: 4
Source: RefSeq, a predicted model, not a curated record
AAAACGCCGAUUGGUUUUUCAUUUCCCUCUUUCUUUUCCUCUUUUGUAGCUCUCCUUUCUCAUCUCUCCCUCCCAUCUCAAGUGCUUCUCCCAUCUUAGAUUUGGACUUUUCCAUCUCCCAUGUUAUCUCCAAAUCUCAUUCUCUCUCUUAUUUCUCUUCCUUUCUUCUCAUUCUCGGGUUCUUAGAUCAGAUCUAGAGCUACUUGUGGACGUGGUUAUCAAUGGUGAAGAGAAUAGAAGAAAUCUAAGGAGGCACUUGAAGCUAGUUCCCACCUGAUACACGAUUCGGUUGUCUAAUUAACAUGGGAAGGUGGCACUUGUUGAUGCACGUGGAGGGGCAUGCUUGUGGUGCUAUAUAUCUCUUUGGAGAAAUGCAACAAGAAAGGGUUAAAGAGGAUGAAUAUAGAAAAUAAGACGUGCCAGGCUGAUUCUGCUGGAUCUGGUAGCACAGAUGGAGGAUUACGGUAUUGGGCCGAACACUGCUUCAUAUAAUCUGGUGCUCAAGGCGAUGUACCAGGCUAGGGAGAGCAAGGCCACGUUGCUUGAUCGGUAAGUGGGCCACUAUUUCAUUUCUCCUUUUCCAUCGCAUGUGUUUUAUCUGCAACCCAAGUUCUCGAUUGGGUAAGCUGCAAUCAAUUGGAUAAGUGGCAUGGCAGUCCGCUUUUUCUCUCCAAUCUUUCCCCUCGUUUGAGUUGGUAUUCGGUUAUGGUUUGGUUUGGGUCCGUGUGUAUUUAUAGACAAUUGAUGAAUAUCGACCUUUCCUGAUUUCAUUUCUUACCUAAGAGUGUGUUUGGUUAUACCAAUAUUUAACAAGUAUAUGAAUACAAAAGAUUCGUGUGAUCCAUUUCAAGGUGGGGUUUCAUUUAACAGUGUAUUUCUUUAUUAAAAACCUGUUUGAUUUCCCACCAACAUUGAUUCACAUGCUGAAUUCUAUUUGGUAGAUCAGGAUGGGAUAAUCCACUGUGGGACACAAAACUCCCUCAUAUCUACACCGUUGAGGGUUUUAUGUUGCACUGAUAUUGCAUUAAUUGCUGCUGUUGGCACUUCGUAAUUCGAAACUGAUUUAUAACGUAACUCUUAUUCAAACAAGCCUUGAAUUGCAUGCAUAACUAGACAUUCAUGAUUUUGGAAUUUUAGGAGUAGGCGUUUGCUUUUUUUACCUCAUGCUUUUCCUAGUGUUUCAAUCUAUAAAUUUUUUGUCCAUUAUGUAACCUUUCAUUCUCGGGAUGCUUGUAAAUGGGGUUGGUUGUAAAUGAUUUACAAGUUGUGUUUGAAUGCUAAUUUAAGCCCAUAAAGGUCUUCUGUUCUAGAAGAUUCAGCCUAGCAGAAUUUUUAAUUGUUUCUUUUCUUUUCUUUUACAUUGUUAGACAUUGACCGAUAUUCACAGAGGUCUUGAUUACAUACCUUGUUCAGAAUUUUAAUUUUCAAUUUCAUAAGGUUUUCUUCAGAAUUUUAAUUUUCAAUUUAUAGCUUUUGUUUAUUUGUUAGAGGUCUUGAUUACAUAAAUUCAAGUAUGAUACACAGAAAAUAAGAUGUCUUGAUUACUCUCGUUUUUUUAUCAUGUUUUUUUUUCCUUCUCUUCUUGAUGGGUGUUUUAUUAUUCUUUUCAUUACCUGUAUCAGGUGGAACACACUGUUACUUACAAUGAGCACAUGCCGAGAAAACCUCCCCCAGAUUUGCCAUCUCUACUUUUACAUGGACGGAUAGUUUACAUUGGCAUGCCUAAUAAGAUCUUCCACGUGCCAAGAACCAUCAAUGAAUGAAGUUGAUAUGCGUGAAGAACCAUCAGAUGAUGAGGUUGAUAUGCAUGAAGAACCAUCGGAUGAUGAGGUUGAUAUGCAUGAAGAACCAUCGGAUGACGAGGUUGAUAUG